UACAGAGGUCUCAAGCGUUGUUCGGAUUCAUUGGGCGUAAAGGGUGCGUAGGUGGUGCUGUAAGUCAGGUGUGAAAUCCCGGGGCUCAACCCCGGAACUGCACUUGAUACUGCAGUGCUCGAGGACUGGAGAGGAGAUCGGAAUUCAUGGUGUAGCAGUGAAAUGCGUAGAGAUCGGGAGGAACACCAGUGGCGAAGGCGGCUACCUGGACCAGCACUGACACUGAGGCACGAAAGCGUGGGGAGCAAACAGG
RNAcentral lists this ribosomal RNA (253 nucleotides) under uncultured bacterium. RNAcentral's name for it is "partial 16S ribosomal RNA". It matches the Rfam family "Bacterial small subunit ribosomal RNA", at positions 524 to 776 of the family's 1533-position model. The record is from RNAcentral.